UACGUAGGGUGCGAGCGUUAAUCGGAAUUACUGGGCGUAAAGCGUGCGCAGGCGGUGAUGUAAGACCGAUGUGAAAUCCCCGGGCUUAACCUGGGAACUGCAUUGGUGACUGCAUUGCUGGAGUAUGGCAGAGGGGGGUGGAAUUCCACGUGUAGCAGUGAAAUGCGUAGAGAUGUGGAGGAACACCGAUGGCGAAGGCAGCCCCCUGGGCCUGCACUGACGCUCAUGCACGAAAGCGUGGGGAGCAAACAGG
This 253-nucleotide ribosomal RNA is filed under the name uncultured bacterium. RNAcentral's name for it is "partial 16S ribosomal RNA". It matches the Rfam family "Bacterial small subunit ribosomal RNA", at positions 524 to 776 of the family's 1533-position model. The record is from RNAcentral.